CGAAAUGCAGCGAGGUGGCUCGGAGCAGCCCCGGGGCGGAGCUGGCGGCAGCGGGGGAGAGAAGGCGUCGCGGGCGGAGCAGAGCCGGGGCUGUCGGGGGCAGCGCAGCGCGGGCAGCGGAGCGGCGGGAUGCGGCAGUGCCGGGCCGCGGGGCUGGCGGGGCUGGCCGCGGUGCUCGUGGUGGCUGUGAGCAGAGCCCAGGUGCAGCAGGAGCCGUCGGCAGAGACCAGCGAGGGCACGGCCAUCAACAUCACCUGCUCACACCCCAACAUACAGACCGGCUAUUACAUCUAUUGGUACCGUCAUCACCCGGGCCGAGCCCUCGCAUUCCUCGCGAGCGCCCUGAAGGGCUCCAAGGAGGUGCCGGACCCGGUAGGACUGCUGUCGGUGUCGGCAGACCGCCGCUCCAGCGUCUUGUGGCUCGCCCAGCCCAGGCUCGGGGACGCGGCGGUGUAUUACUGCGCCGUGGACCCACGGGGAGGGGAGCCGGGGCUGCGGCCGGGCACGAACCGCGGCGGGCGGGCGGGGCGGGGCGGAUGAUGGGC
This is a non-coding RNA of Numida meleagris (helmeted guineafowl), 545 nucleotides long. The record is from the annotation of a RefSeq genome assembly. NCBI's taxonomy places the organism in Eukaryota, Metazoa, Chordata, Aves, Galliformes, Numididae.